CAUGACACAGUUAAGAAAAAUAAUGAGGAAAGUGAAUCAUUAGCUACUAUGUCAUAAUGGUACAAAAAGAUUCCAAGUUACUGUCCAUAGGAGGCAAUGAUGCCACGUAAGCAACCUCCCUGCACUCUCCCAGGGGUUCACAGGUGUGGUGGCCCCUGGGAGCUUAUGCAGAAUCAGCUCAUCAUCGAUCCUUCCAAACUCAUCCCCAU
This 209-nucleotide long non-coding RNA is filed under the name Anser brachyrhynchus (Pink-footed goose). Its description in RNAcentral is "lncRNA (ENSABRG00000006052.1)". The record is from RNAcentral. Lineage: Eukaryota; Metazoa; Chordata; Aves; Anseriformes; Anatidae.